AAGGAUCAUUACCGAGAGUCUACCUCUCCACCCCUUUGUAUACCAUCCUCUGUUUCUUCGGCGGGCCGGGUCGGCCGCUGGCCCCUGGCCCGUCGGUGGUAACUCUGUAGUCGAACGCGUCGUCUGAGUUUGGCUUCUAAUAGAAUAAAACUUUCAACAACGGAUCUCUUGGUUCUG
RNAcentral lists this unclassified non-coding RNA (177 nucleotides) under uncultured fungus. Its description in RNAcentral is "partial contains 18S rRNA, ITS1, 5.8S rRNA, ITS2 and 28S rRNA". Lineage: Eukaryota; Fungi. The record is from RNAcentral.